AUAAAGGUAAAGGAACUGCUCACGCUCAGAAACCAGAAUAUUAGUAAACAAACAAGUAACUACAGCACCACGUUACCUGUGUGUGGGGAACAGCAGGUGCAGAGGAAGGCGAGGUUGGGGUAGUACACUGAAUGGACCGACCAACAAAGAUGCAUUAGAGAAACUGUCAAAUUUCACCCUAUCCUUCACUCAUCCUGCAGUGGCCCAAGAUAAACUCAUCUCUUAUUAAGGUCGCGGAAGGGGGACGUGAUUGCUGCCCGUAUCAUCAUUGGGUAUGACUUUGCUUGGG
This is a long non-coding RNA of Homarus americanus (American lobster), 289 nucleotides long. RefSeq lists it as uncharacterized. The transcript is spliced from 3 exons. NCBI's taxonomy places the organism in Eukaryota, Metazoa, Arthropoda, Malacostraca, Decapoda, Nephropidae. The record is from RefSeq and is a predicted model, not a curated record.